Molecule: ribosomal RNA, 262 nt
Filed under: uncultured archaeon
Lineage: Archaea
Description: partial 16S ribosomal RNA
Rfam family: Archaeal small subunit ribosomal RNA
Source: RNAcentral
CAGCCGUAAACAAUGUGCGUUAGGUGUGUCGGUAACCACGCGUUACUGAUGCGCCGAAGAGAAAUCGUGAAACGCACCACCUGGGAAGUACGGUCGCAAGGCUGAAACUUAAAGGAAUUGGCGGGGGAGCACCACAACAGGUGGAGCCUGCGGUUUAAUUGGAUUCCAACGCCGGACAUCUCACCGGAUAAGACAGCUGAAUGAUUGUCAAUCUGAAGGUUUUACAUGACUAGCUGAGAGGAGGUGCAUGGCGUCAGUGACU